GGGAAUAGCAGCCCUGCGCGGGCUGCGGAAGGCCGGCGAGAUCCCGGGACGGCAGCAGAGGCCAGCGCCUGGAGUUCCCACAAUGCACCGGGGGAGGCGCCCUGGUUGCCCGAAGUGGGAGAGAAGCGGUGGCGGCUCCGCUGAGGGCUGAUCUGUGAACUCUUGAAGAAGAGCAUGAAUGUUUCUGAGACCUGGUUGUACGGUGGUUCCUCACUAGCAUCUCAGGUUCAUGCUGCAGCUGUUAAUGGACACAAGAGUGCUCUUCUAAAGCAAAUAGCAGGAAACCCUGAUCUGAAAGACAAAGAGGACCAGUUUGGGAGAACACCACUCAUGUACUGUGUGUUGGCUGAUAGAUUAGACUGUGCGGAGGCUUUGUUGAAGACGGGAAUAGAUGUUAAUAAAGCUGAUCAUAGUCAGAGGACAGCUCUCCACCUUGCUGCACAAAAGGGAAAUUAUCGCUUUAUGAAACUUCUCCUCGCUCGUAGAGCAAAGUGGUUGAAGAAGGAUUUGGAAGGAAUUACUCCUUUGCACUUAACUACCCGGCACAAGAAUCCAAAGUGCUUAGCUUUGUUGUUAAAAUAUAUGGCACCAGGAGAGAUUGAUACGCAGGACAAAAAUAAGCAAACUGCUCUUCACUGGAGUGCUUAUUACAAUAAUCCAGAGCAUGUGAAACUUUUAAUCAAACAUGAUUCUAAUAUUGGCAUCCCAGAUGUUGAAGGCAAAAUCCCUCUUCAUUGGGCAGCUAACCACAAGGACCCAAGCGCUGUUCACACCGUCAGAUGCAUUUUGGAUGCUGCUCCCACUGAGUCUCUCUUAAACUGGCAAGACUACGAAGGACGGACGCCUCUCCAUUUUGCAGUCGCUGAUGGGAACGUGGCUGUUGUUGAUUUGCUGACUUCCUAUGAAGGCUGUAACGUGACUUCCUAUGACAACUUAUUUCGAACGCCGCUUCAUUGGGCAGCUUUAUUGGGUCAUGCACAGAUUGUCCACCUUCUUUUAGAAAGAAACAAGUCUGGGACCAUUCCAUCUGAUAGCCAAGGAGCAACACCUUUACACUAUGCAGCACAGAGCAACUUUGCUGAAACAGUGGAAGCCUUUUUGAAACAUCCUUCUGUGAGAGAUGACUCAGAUCUGGAGGGACGAACAUCUUUUAUGUGGGCUGCUGGGAAAGGCAGUAAUGAUGUCAUCUGGACGAUACUGAAUUUAAAAUCAGACAUUGAUAUCAACAUGGCAGACAAAUAUGGUGGCACAGCAUUACACGCAGCUGCCCUUUCUGGCCAUGUCAGCACCGUGCAAUUGUUGCUAGAACAUGAUGCUCAGGUAGAUGCGACUGACGUAAUGAAACAUACUCCUCUUUUCCGUGCCUGUGAGAUGGGGCAUAAAGAAGUGAUACAGACUCUCAUUAAAGGAGGAGCCAGAGUGGAUCUCGUUGACCAAGAUGGUCAUUCUCCCUUACACUGGGCAGCUCUGGGAGGAAACCCAGACGUUUGCCAGAUAUUGAUAGAAAAUAAAAUCAAUCCAAAUGUGCAGGAUUAUGCAGGCAGGACUCCCUUGCAGUGUGCUGCCUACGGAGGCUACAUUAAUUGCAUGGUGGUGCUCCUGGAAAACAAGGCCGAUCCAAAUGUUCAAGAUAAAGAGGGAAGAACUGCCCUACAUUGGUUAUGUAACAACGGCUACCUUGAUGCUAUAAAGCUACUGCUGGGGUUUGGUGCCUUUCCCAAUCAUAUGGAGAACAAUGAAGAAAGAUACACUCCACUUGAUUAUGCUUUGCUUGGAGCUCACCAUGAAGUCAUCCAAUUCAUGCUGGAGCAUGGUGCUUUAUCCAUCGCUGCCAUACAGGACAUCGCAGCUGUCAAAAUCCAAGCAGUCUAUAAAGGAUACAAAGUCAGAAAAGCUUUCCAAGAUAGGAAAAACCUUCUAGUGAAGCAUGAACAGCUGAGGAAAGAUGCUGCUGCCAAGAAACGUGAGGAAGAGAAUAGAAGGAAAGCCACUGAGCUGCAGAAAGAAAUUAAGAACGUUGAGGCCAACAGGAUCCCAUUGCAGCAGCAGGAUCAGCAGUGCCUUUUGAGAAAAGAGCUGGAAACGAGGUUUCGUACCGCACAGCACCCCAUUCAGCAAGAUGCUGCUCAUAAAAAAAGGCCUUCCUCCAGCACCGCUUUUCAAAACCGAGCUGAAAGAAGCAGGAAAGACUCGGCUACAGUUUUGCCAAACAAGGAGACCUCCAAGAACCAAUGUCACUCUGCAGAACAGCUGGGCGAAGAUCACAAAAGCAAAAAGGAACUAUCUAAGGCAAACUACAAAAGCAAGUCUGCCUGUAUCCCUUCUCAUUCCAAUAAGGACAGUGAUGGAUCCAAAUACCGGUUUGUAGCAAAGCAUCAAGCUGCAUCUGCUACUUCUGGCAGGGAUGGUAAAAAAAACAAGGAAUCUACUGCAAAAGCAAAUGGCAACUCCACGCAUGCCGGAAAAAGGCACAUCCCCGGCGAUAAAGCUGCCAGCUCCAGGGAGAAAUCAGAAAAUCAAACUCAGUCAAUAAAUAGCAGCAUCAACCAUUGUGAAGAAACACCAGCAUGUGUCCAAAAUAGUAACUUCACUAAUGGAAGCACAGAGAAUUUGAGGCAGUGUGAAAUGGCACUUAAAGGCAACCCACAGCCACUGAAAGCAAAAAGCAAAGAGUUAAAUGACGAGAGGUGGUCUCCAGCUGGCUCCAGCAGACCUGGAAGUGCCAAGGCAGGAAGUGUGAACAUCAGAAGGGACACUGCAAAGGCUGCUGUUACACAAACCAGCAAGUCAACAAAUGAUGACAUUACUGGACAGGACUGUCCUUUGCUGCCUAACAAUGAAGGGACUGCAAGGUUGGUGCCCCACAGGCUGGCAAUGGGCAGUGCCUCUGGAGACAAUACUAAACUGAGCAGGCAAGUUGUGACUGCAUCCAGGCAUGCAGAAGAUCCAUUGGGUUCUCUUCAGCACAAGAGCACAAAUAUUGAACUUAUCCCAUUAGCAAUACGGAUGCAGGUCAUAGAGAAGGAAAGGGCAAGGAAAGAGCUGUUCCGGAAGAAGAACUGUGCCGCUGCCAUUAUUCAAAGGGCAUGGAGAAGGUAGGGGGGAAUCCCUGUUUCUUCCUUCCUCACUUAUUUCUUUUGAAUUAUUCCAGAUUUCAUCGGGAAGCUUAGCAUGGGGGUUAAGCUUGAAGUUCUGACAUUAUUUUGAGUUACCAAGCCUGAGGCUGAUGGUUCAGUAGAGAAGCUAGCCACUGGGUGGGAUGUGUCAGCUUGUCCCUUGCCACUUUGCAUGCUAAAAGGAUGCUUCAGGAAAGAAUGCUUCUGCUUUCCACAUACAGAUAUAGUAUGAAGGGUUGAGUCUUCAUGAGCUGCUUGGAGAGAUCAUUAGGGCUACAAGUCAUGACCUGGGUGGCCCAGGUUAGCCCGAUCUUGUCAGAUCUUGGCUGCUAAGCAGGGUCAGCCCUAGUUAGUAUUUGGAUGGUAGACCACUGAGAAAGUCCAGGAUCCACAAUGCAGGGGCAGGCAAUGGCAAACCAUUCCUCUUUGUAACUUUGCCUUAGAAACCCUACAGCUGUGACUUGACGACUUUACUCUCAUACACCCAUCAUGAGCUUUCUGCUGGCAUUGUGCCUCUAAUGAAGGGGCAUGGCUCAGUGGAAGAGUACAUGUUUUGCAUGCAGAAGGUCUGGCCGUAUUCACACUUGCCUUGGCAAAAUCCAGUGUCCGUGUGGAGCUGUCCUCGAAGAUGGAUUAGAAACUUCAGUUGGUGCACCGUGUGGCUGCAAGUAUUCUUUCCAAUUUAUGCCACAACUAUCAAAUAAAGUCAGCCCUACUUUUGCAGGUUCUGAGUCUCAGUUUGCUUCCAGGUUCAGUUCUGAGGUGCUGACCUUGAUGUUUAGAGGCCUAAAUGGGUUGGUUUAGAGUAACUUAAAGGACCGCCUCCGCAUGUAGAGCUCUGAGACUCCAUCAUGUGGGAUCUCAGCUCACCUGAAUUUAGGCUGACUGGGCCUUGGGGGGAAACUUUUUCAGCUGCACCCCCCAGACCGGGGAAUUCCCUCCCCAGGAAGUGAGGCGGACACCAUCCCUGCAGGCCUUCUGGACUCAUCUGAAGACUUUUCUUUUCUGGAAGGACCUGGAGUGAAAUAGGAAACUGUGCUUGUUGUUCGUAUCUCUGUGCUUAC
RNA transcript from Eublepharis macularius, 4180 nucleotides. It is a transcript of the gene named inversin, with no coding region annotated. NCBI's taxonomy places the organism in Eukaryota, Metazoa, Chordata, Lepidosauria, Squamata, Eublepharidae. The transcript has 15 exons. The record is from RefSeq and is a predicted model, not a curated record.